AAAGUCGUAACAAGGUUUCCGUAGGUGAACCUGCGGAAGGAUCAUUCAUAAUAAGUGUUUUAUGGCACUUUUUAAAAUCCAUAUCCACCUUGUGUGAAACGUUAUGGGAGGAAAGAAUAUAAGAAGGUAAAACUUUUUACAUUUUCUUCUCUCACAAUUUUAUAAACUCAUUUAAAACUUUCUGUCUGAAAACUAUUAUGAAUACUUAAUUCAAAAUACAACUUUCAACAACGGAUCUCUUGGCUCUC
This 248-nucleotide unclassified non-coding RNA is filed under the name Mucoromycotina sp. RNAcentral describes it as "partial contains small subunit ribosomal RNA, internal transcribed spacer 1, and 5.8S ribosomal RNA". The stretch from base 1 to 47 matches the Rfam family "Eukaryotic small subunit ribosomal RNA", at positions 1785 to 1831 of the family's 1831-position model. Lineage: Eukaryota; Fungi; Mucoromycota. The record is from RNAcentral.